RNAcentral lists this ribosomal RNA (443 nucleotides) under uncultured bacterium. RNAcentral describes it as "partial 16S ribosomal RNA". It matches the Rfam family "Bacterial small subunit ribosomal RNA", at positions 338 to 795 of the family's 1533-position model. The record is from RNAcentral.
CCUACGGGAGGCAGCAGUGGGGAAUAUUGGACAAUGGGGGGAACCCUGAUCCAGCGACGCCGCGUGAGUGAAGAAGUAUUUCGGUAUGUAAAGCUCUAUCAGCAGGGAAGAAAGAAAUGACGGUACCUGACUAAGAAGCCCCGGCUAACUACGUGCCAGCAGCCGCGGUAAUACGUAGGGGGCAAGCGUUAUCCGGAUUUACUGGGUGUAAAGGGAGCGUAGACGGCGAUGCAAGUCUGAAGUGAAAGGCGGGGGCGCAACCCCCGGACUGCUUUGGAAACUGUAUGGCUGGAGUGCAGGAGAGGUAAGUGGAAUUCCUAGUGUAGCGGUGAAAUGCGUAGAUAUUAGGAGGAACACCAGUGGCGAAGGCGGCUUACUGGACUGUAACUGACGUUGAGGCUCGAAAGCGUGGGGAGCAAACAGGAUUAGAUACCCCGGUAGUC